GAUCCCAUAGCUCAGUCGGUUAGAGCGUCGUACUAAUACAACUACGAUGUAGUUCUAUCUCUAGUAAUGCGAAGGCCGGCGGUUCGAGCCCGCCUGGGAUCA
Non-coding RNA from Daldinia decipiens, 102 nucleotides. The record is from the annotation of a RefSeq genome assembly. NCBI's taxonomy places the organism in Eukaryota, Fungi, Ascomycota, Sordariomycetes, Xylariales, Hypoxylaceae.